UAGGGAAUCUUCCACAAUGGGCGAAAGCCUGAUGGAGCAACGCCGCGUGUGUGAUGAAGGGUUUCGGCUCGUAAAACACUGUUGUAAGAGAAGAAUGACAUUGAGAGUAACUGUUCAGGUAUUGACGGUAUUUAACCAGAAAGCCACGGCUAACUACGUGCCAC
Molecule: ribosomal RNA, 164 nt
Filed under: uncultured bacterium
Lineage: Bacteria
Description: partial 16S rRNA
Rfam family: Bacterial small subunit ribosomal RNA
Source: RNAcentral